UACGUAGGGUGCGAGCGUUGUCCGGAAUUAUUGGGCGUAAAGGGCUCGUAGGCGGUUUGUCGCGUCGGGAGUGAAAACACCGGGCUUAACUCGGUGCUUGCUUUCGAUACGGGCAGACUAGAGGUAUGCAGGGGAGAACGGAAUUCCUGGUGUAGCGGUGAAAUGCGCAGAUAUCAGGAGGAACACCGGUGGCGAAGGCGGUUCUCUGGGACGGUACUGACGCUGAGACGCGAAAGCGUGGGGAGCGAACAGG
This 253-nucleotide ribosomal RNA is filed under the name uncultured bacterium. Its description in RNAcentral is "partial 16S ribosomal RNA". It matches the Rfam family "Bacterial small subunit ribosomal RNA", at positions 524 to 776 of the family's 1533-position model. The record is from RNAcentral.